CACUCGUGUAAGUCAUGAUGGGUCGACGC
This 29-nucleotide small RNA is filed under the name Bombyx mori (domestic silkworm). Its description in RNAcentral is "ovarian small RNA-13059". Lineage: Eukaryota; Metazoa; Arthropoda; Insecta; Lepidoptera; Bombycidae. The record is from RNAcentral.